Molecule: ribosomal RNA, 753 nt
Filed under: uncultured Comamonadaceae bacterium
Lineage: Bacteria; Pseudomonadati; Pseudomonadota; Betaproteobacteria; Burkholderiales; Comamonadaceae
Description: bacterial SSU rRNA
Rfam family: Bacterial small subunit ribosomal RNA
Source: RNAcentral
AUUGAACGCUGGCGGCAUGCCUUACACAUGCAAGUCGAACGGCAGCACGGGAGCAAUCCUGGUGGCGAGUGGCGAACGGGUGAGUAAUACAUCGGAACGUGCCCAAUCGUGGGGGAUAACGCAGCGAAAGCUGUGCUAAUACCGCAUACGAUCUACGGAUGAAAGCAGGGGAUCGCAAGACCUUGCGCGAAUGGAGCGGCCGAUGGCAGAUUAGGUAGUUGGUGAGGUAAAGGCUCACCAAGCCGUCGAUCUGUAGCUGGUCUGAGAGGACGACCAGCCACACUAGGACUGAGACACGGCCCAGACUCCUACGGGAGGCAGCAGUGGGGAAUUUUGGACAAUGGGCGAAAGCCUGAUCCAGCCAUGCCGCGUGCAGGAUGAGGGCCUCCGGGUUGUAAACUGCUUUUGUACGGAACGAAACGGCCUUUUCUAAUAAAGAGGGCUAAUGACGGUACCGUAAGAAUAAGCACCGGCUAACUACGUGCCAGCAGCCGCGGUAAUACGUAGGGUGCAAGCGUUAAUCGGAAUUACUGGGCGUAAAGCGUGCGCAGGCGGUUAUGUAAGACAGUUGUGAAAUCCCCGGGCUCAACCUGGGAACUGCAUCUGUGACUGCAUAGCUAGAGUACGGUAGAGGGGGAUGGAAUUCCGCGUGUAGCAGUGAAAUGCGUAGAUAUGCGGAGGAACACCGAUGGCGAAGGCAAUCCCCUGGACCUGUACUGACGCUCAUGCACGAAAGCGUGGGGAGCAAACAGG